This 433-nucleotide ribosomal RNA is filed under the name uncultured bacterium. RNAcentral describes it as "partial 16S ribosomal RNA". It matches the Rfam family "Bacterial small subunit ribosomal RNA", at positions 29 to 507 of the family's 1533-position model. The record is from RNAcentral.
AACGAACGCUGGCGGCAUGCCUAACACAUGCAAGUCGAACGAGACCUUCGGGUCUAGUGGCGCACGGGUGCGUAACGCGUGGGAAUCUGCCCUUGGGUUCGGAAUAACAGUUGGAAACGACUGCUAAUACCGGAUGAUGACGUAAGUCCAAAGAUUUAUCGCCCAAGGAUGAGCCCGCGUAGGAUUAGCUAGUUGGUGAGGUAAAGGCUCACCAAGGCGACGAUCCUUAGCUGGUCUGAGAGGAUGAUCAGCCACACUGGGACUGAGACACGGCCCAGACUCCUACGGGAGGCAGCAGUGGGGAAUAUUGGACAAUGGGCGAGAGCCUGAUCCAGCAAGGCCGCGUGAGUGAUGAAGGCCUUAGGAUUGUAAAGCUCUUUUAACCGGGAUGAUAAUGACAGUACCGGGAGAAUAAGCACCGGCUAACUCCGUG